Molecule: long non-coding RNA, 1523 nt
Organism: Mercurialis annua (annual mercury)
Lineage: Eukaryota; Viridiplantae; Streptophyta; Magnoliopsida; Malpighiales; Euphorbiaceae
Exons: 3
Source: RefSeq, a predicted model, not a curated record
CAUUCAUUCAAUAGAGAAUUUUCAGCAAAAAAGAGAAGAAUCCCGAAACUCUUCUCCAUUUUUCACCCAAAUCUUACAAAUGCCAUAACUUCCUCGUUUCUCAACGAAAUUUAGCGAUUCUUGCGGCCACGGAACGAGGAAACGAUUAUCUACAGAUCUAUGGAUUCAAUUUGAGGUGUUUAUAAGCUUGAAUUGGAGCAAAUUGAUGGUGAAUUUUGGAAGCUAAACUUUUGAUGAUGAAAAAUACCAAUCAAGAUCGGACGAGCGACUAUCGACAAGGUUUGAGGCAAACGGAUCGAGAUAUCGUCAUAAUUAUUUGAAGAAUUUGGAUAGCAAGUGGUGAGUACACUUUGAAAUACUAUAUGGGUUAUAAGGCAAACCGGUUUUUGAUUUGUGAAUCGGAAAUUUAAAUUCUUUAAAGCGGAAAAUAGAAUUUAAAGACACAAGAGAUUUAGAGUGGUUCGGAUCAACUCACGAUCCUACUCCACUACUCAAUCUAAGAUUGAGAUUUUAGAAUCCACUAAAUGGGAUUGUGCUUUAUAGAUAAGCACCAACUUUACAAAGAGAUUUCUUAGAGAUAAUCUCAAACUCACAAUUGAUUUUUCAAGGAUAAUCAAGAACCUACAAGGGUUGAGUUUUUCCAAAGCUAAACUCUAACUCACAAUGAUUAGGAGUUUCCAAGAUUACUCCAAAACUACAACAAAACUAAGUGAUUUAAAAAUGUAUGUUUGUUGUUUCAAGGUGUGUAAAUCAUUAACCUUGAAACCUUGCAAAUGGGUUUAUAUUUAUACCCAAAGCAAUCCCCAAACAAAGCACUAACAAACAAAACAAAAAAAUGAUCUCUGCACACAUAUCGCCCCCGUGAUGCAUGGAUCACGGGCGAGAUAUUUGAAUGAGACAAAAACCUUCAAUGGCUAGAGCCACGUGUCAAUGCUUCAUUGGGUCUUCAAAAAUGUAUCCGUUGGAUCUUCAACGGUCUCAUUUAUCGCGCCCGAGAUGUGUUCGUCGCGCCCGUGAUUCGUUCCAACGGUCGACUAGGGUUUUGUCAGCUCGAAUAUCGCCCCCGUGAUAUUUGCGUCGCCCCCGUGAUAUAUAUCGCCCCCGAGAUGGAAAUCCAUCACGGGCGAGAUAUGCUACUGGACAGCUUUCUACUCAAAAACACGAUUUUUGCUAGAGAGCUCCGAAUUGACUUCCGAUUGUUCCUAUACACUAAUAAACAUGAUUAGAUCACUCAUAGUUGAUUGUCAAAGUCAAAACAAAAGGAGUUUGAAAGGACAAAGGUCCAACAAUCUCCCCCUUUUUGAGUUUGACAAUCAACAUGCUAAAAUGACUAAGUUAAGUAAGAGUCAAAUUGAUUUUGGCUCCCCCUCACUUUAUGCACAAAGGAUAUAAGCAAUUUAUAAUGCAUAAGCAAGAAAUUUUGAAAAAAAUACUUAGUAAUUUGAGCAUGGAAACUUCUCCCCCUUUGUCAAGCACAAAAAGAAUCAAAGCAUGUAUAAAACAUAGACAAAGGAGCUAAUUGA